This 423-nucleotide ribosomal RNA is filed under the name uncultured bacterium. RNAcentral's name for it is "partial 16S ribosomal RNA". It matches the Rfam family "Bacterial small subunit ribosomal RNA", at positions 360 to 774 of the family's 1533-position model. The record is from RNAcentral.
AAUCUUCCGCAAUGGACGAAAGUCUGACGGAGCGAUGCCGCGUGAGUGAUGAAGGUCUUCGGAUCGUAAAACUCUGUUUUUAGGGAAGUACAAGUAUAGGAGUAAUAUGCCGGUACCUUUACGGUACCUUACCAGAAAGGCCCGGCUAACUACGGUCCAGCAGCCGCGGUAAUACGUAGGGGGCAAGCGUUGACCGGAAUUAUUGGGCGUAAAGGGAAUGCAGGCGGUUAUUUAAGUCUGAUGGGAAAUCUUGUGGCUUAACCACAAGCGGUCAUGGGAAACUGGAUAACUUGAGGACAGAAGAGGAGAGUGGAAUUCCACGUGUAGCGGUGAAAUGCGUAGAGAUGUGGAGGAACACCAGUGGCGAAGGCGGCUCUCUGGUCUGUAACUGACGCUGAGGUGCGAAAGCGUGGGUAGCGAACA